This 76-nucleotide transfer RNA is filed under the name bacterium. RNAcentral's name for it is "tRNA-Asp". It matches the Rfam family "tRNA". From Rfam's summary of the family: Transfer RNA (tRNA) molecules are approximately 80 nucleotides in length. The record is from RNAcentral.
GCACUCGUAGCUUAGCCUGGUUUAAAGCGCCUCCCUGUCACGGAGGAGAUCGCCGGUUCAAAUCCGGUCGAGUGCG